RNAcentral lists this ribosomal RNA (359 nucleotides) under Acanthamoeba genotype T5. RNAcentral's name for it is "SSU rRNA". It matches the Rfam family "Eukaryotic small subunit ribosomal RNA", at positions 785 to 1084 of the family's 1831-position model. The record is from RNAcentral. Lineage: Eukaryota; Discosea; Longamoebia; Acanthamoebidae.
UUUCCUGCCACCGAAUACAUUAGCAUGGGAUAAUGGAAUAGGACCCUGACCUCCUAUUUUCAGUUGGUUUUGUUUACAGCGAGGUUAUAUCAGGGUAAUGAUUAAUAGGGAUAGUUGGGGGCAUUAAUAUUUAAUUGUCAGAGGUGAAAUUCUUGGAUUUAUGAAAGAUUAACUUCUGCGAAAGCGUUUGCCAAGGAUGUUUUCAUUAAUCAAGAACGAAAGUUAGGGGAUCGAAGACGAUCAGAUACCGUCGUAGUCUUAACCAUAAACGAUGCCGACCAGCGAUUAGGAGACGUUGAAUACAAAACACCGCCGUUAAUCCUUUCGGGGGUUAAUGGUUGGUGAAUGACUCCCCUAGC